GAUGAACGCUAGCGGCAGGCUUAACACAUGCAAGUCGAGGGGCAGCACGUCUUCGGAUGGUGGCGACCGGCGCACGGGUGCGUAACGCGUAUACAACCUACCUUAUAGAGGGGAAUAGCCCAGAGAAAUUUGGAUUAAUGCCCCAUAGUAUUAUUGAAUAGCAUUAUUUGAUGAUUAAACAUUUAUGGCUAUAAGAUGGGUAUGCGUUCUAUUAGCUAGAUGGUAAGGUAACGGCUUACCAUGGCAACGAUAGAUAGGGGUCCUGAGAGGGAGAUCCCCCACGCUGGUACUGAGACACGGACCAGACUCCUACGGGAGGCAGCAGUGAGGAAUAUUGGACAAUGGGCGAGAGCCUGAUCCAGCCAUGCCGCGUGCAGGAAGACGGCCCUAUGGGUUGUAAACUGCUUUUAUACGGGAAGAAACACUCCUUCGUGAAGGAGCUUGACGGUACCGUAAGAAUAAGGAUCGGCUAACUCCGUGCCAGCAGCCGAC
RNAcentral lists this ribosomal RNA (492 nucleotides) under uncultured bacterium. Its description in RNAcentral is "bacterial SSU rRNA". It matches the Rfam family "Bacterial small subunit ribosomal RNA", at positions 28 to 518 of the family's 1533-position model. The record is from RNAcentral.